RNAcentral lists this signal recognition particle RNA (97 nucleotides) under Arcobacter sp. CECT 8985. RNAcentral's name for it is "signal recognition particle sRNA small type". It matches the Rfam family "Bacterial small signal recognition particle RNA". Rfam says of the family: The signal recognition particle (SRP) is a universally conserved ribonucleoprotein involved in the co-translational targeting of proteins to membranes. Archaeal SRP consists of a 7S RNA and homologues of the eukaryotic SRP19 and SRP54 proteins. The record is from RNAcentral. Lineage: Bacteria; Pseudomonadati; Campylobacterota; Epsilonproteobacteria; Campylobacterales; Arcobacteraceae.
UCUUUAGACCCUUGCAAUCAUUUUUUAAGACAACGCCCCAGGGUGGGAACACAGCAAGGCACCUUACUUAGUGGUGUGCUUGGGUAUCUGGAGAAGA